UUGCCAGAUGCUGUCCUGUUGGAAAUUCUUCUUUACGUGAUCCUGGAGGAGGGUGAUGCUACAUUACUAAGUCCGUCUUUGGUUUGUUCCAAAUUCAGAAGUCUGCUGUACUGUAUACAGACUCCUUUCGAAAGGGGGCACAAUCCAGCUUGCUUGACUGAGUAUCUUUUACAGAUUUGAUUAGAGGUUUAAAAAGGUGGAACAAAAUGGAGAACAAGUCUAAGCCAUGUCAGGAAUUCAACAAAAUGUACACCCUGCAGACACUGCGACGAGGUUUACAUCAACUGCUUACCAGGUCACUGCAGUCGCCCGGAUCCAGUACGUAUCCAGACCAGAUGGUGGAUCAGCACCUAGAAAGGACCUCUACAUCCCUGAAAGACAGCGGAGACCAGGACAACUAGAGCCCCAGAUACAGAUCCCCUGUAAAGACCUUGUUUUUUCUCCAUUUUGUCACCGGUGGAGUUUUGGUUCCUUGUCGCCUCUGGCUUGCUUCGUUGUGGUCACUUCAUUUACAGCGAUAUCAUUGACAUAAUUGCAAAUGAUUCCACAGAUACUAUUUAAACUGAACCGAGCUGAAGGAUGACAUCACUGAAUUGAAUGAUAAACUGACUACAAACUGAGUUUACUAAUGUCCUUCUGCAUUAUUGACUGACACACUAUUUUCCUAUUUAAUACUGUAAAGUUGCUUUGCUUUGAUCUGUAUUAUUAAAAGCACUAUAUAAAUAGACGAUGCUUGACUUGACCAUGUUGCAAGAGGAAAAUGAGGGGAGAUGCACAUCCACCCUGGGUUUUACAGUGAUUGGUGCAAGAUGCUGGAGAAGUAACUCUGUAUACCUCAUCAGUUCUGAUCUAAGAGUCUUGAAAAUACCUCCGGAUUGUUGUUAGUGAUUCUGAUUGAUAUUUUAGUCUGCUUGCUUACUGGAUAUAUUUUAUACUGUUUACAUUGUAAAGCACUGACUUUGACAACUUACUAACCCAGUUACAAAUUUAACAGCUACUUUAUACUAUAUAUAUAUAUAUAGUUGUUUCUUGAAAUACUACAAAUAUAACCGCAAAUUAUGAUUUUAAAUAAAGGUCUCUGAGACUUCUCUCUUUUCAGUCAUUUGUGUAUAUAGCCUAUAAUAUACAACAUACACCAAGUAAGUGCCACUCUCGUAUAUAAAUAUAAAUUGUUUUAUUUCACACAAACAAUGAUACAUGCAUGCAUAAACAUUCAGC
RNAcentral lists this long non-coding RNA (1218 nucleotides) under Carassius auratus (goldfish). RNAcentral describes it as "lncRNA (ENSCARG00000022073.1)". The record is from RNAcentral. Lineage: Eukaryota; Metazoa; Chordata; Actinopteri; Cypriniformes; Cyprinidae.